This 450-nucleotide long non-coding RNA is filed under the name Scleropages formosus (Asian bonytongue). RNAcentral describes it as "lncRNA (ENSSFOG00015030526.1)". The record is from RNAcentral. Lineage: Eukaryota; Metazoa; Chordata; Actinopteri; Osteoglossiformes; Osteoglossidae.
CGUGAGCGUUUGUAUAAAUACGAAUAACGUUAGGCCCAGGAUGACGCUCAUGCACGGGGGCGCAGCGAACAGAGCGCUCGCAGGUACGGACGCGGUGAAACGUGCACGGCUGUGGUUUGUGCCGAAGAGAUUCCGCUUCCCCUAACAUAUCGCCCCGGAAGACUAUUAAAGCCUCACCGUGUGAAUGCCGCCUAUUCAACGGGAACUCAUUGUUCGCAGCAAGUCCCAGAUCUCCAAUGUGAAAUUCCGCAGAUGCGGUGAAGUUAGAGAAGAAAACGUAAACAUGGCUGGAAAUUAAGAUGAAUAAUGCGAGGAACACGCAGGAUGCUUGAAGGACGUAGUGAAGAGGAUGUACUCGGCCAGCACAAAGCAGAGUGGAGAAGGCAGCGCUGCCUUUGAACCGCCAUUAGAUACGGACUGCGGACGGAGCCAAGAGCCACGCUGCCCCUA